CCUACGAGAGGCUGCAGUGGGGAAUAUUGGACAAUGGGCGAAAGCCUGAUCCAGCCAUGCCGCGUGUGUGAAGAAGGCCUUCGGGUUGUAAAGCACUUUCAGUGGGGAAGAAAGCCUUGGGGCUAAUACCCUCGAGGAAGGACAUCACCCACAGAAGAAGCACCGGCUAACUCCGUGCCAGCAGCCGCGGUAAUACGGAGGGUGCGAGCGUUAAUCGGAAUUACUGGGCGUAAAGCGCGCGUAGGCGGUCUGAUAAGCCGGUUGUGAAAGCCCCGGGCUCAACCUGGGAACGGCAUCCGGAACUGUCAGGCUAGAGUGCAGGAGAGGAAGGUAGAAUUCCCGGUGUAGCGGUGAAAUGCGUAGAGAUCGGGAGGAAUACCAGUGGCGAAGGCGGCCUUCUGGACUGACACUGACGCUGAGGUGCGAAAGCGUGGGUAGCAAACAGGAUUAGAUACCCUUGUAGUC
RNAcentral lists this ribosomal RNA (465 nucleotides) under Vreelandella stevensii. RNAcentral describes it as "partial 16S ribosomal RNA". It matches the Rfam family "Bacterial small subunit ribosomal RNA", at positions 338 to 795 of the family's 1533-position model. Lineage: Bacteria; Pseudomonadati; Pseudomonadota; Gammaproteobacteria; Oceanospirillales; Halomonadaceae. The record is from RNAcentral.